ACGGGAGGCAGCAGUGGGGAAUAUUGCACAAUGGGGGAAACCCUGAUGCAGCGACGCCGCGUGAACGAAGAAGUAUUUCGGUAUGUAAAGUUCUAUCAGCAGGGAAGAAAAUGACGGUACCUGACUAAGAAGCCCCGGCUAACUACGUGCCAGCAGCCGCGGUAAUACGUAGGGGGCAAGCGUUAUCCGGAUUUACUGGGUGUAAAGGGAGCGUAGACGGCAUUGCAAGUCUGAAGUGAAACUCCGGGGCUCAACCCCGGAACUGCUUUGGAAACUGCAGAGCUUGAGUACCGGAGGGGUAAGCGGAAUUCCUAGUGUAGCGGUGAAAUGCGUAGAUAUUAGGAGGAACACCAGUGGCGAAGGCGGCUUACUGGACGGUAACUGACACUGAGGCACGAAAGUGUGGGGAGCAAACAGGAUUAGAUACCCUGGUA
Molecule: ribosomal RNA, 434 nt
Filed under: uncultured Lachnospiraceae bacterium
Lineage: Bacteria; Bacillati; Bacillota; Clostridia; Lachnospirales; Lachnospiraceae
Description: partial 16S ribosomal RNA
Rfam family: Bacterial small subunit ribosomal RNA
Source: RNAcentral